GACGAACGCUGGCGGCGUGCUUAACACAUGCAAGUCGAACGGUAAGGCCCUUCGGGGUACACGAGCGGCGAACGGGUGAGUAACACGUGGGUGAUCUGCCCUGCACUUCGGGAUAAGCCUGGGAAACUGGGUCUAAUACCGGAUAGGACUCCUGGCUUCAUGGUUGGGGGUGGAAAGCUUUUGCGGUGUGGGAUGGGCCCGCGGCCUAUCAGCUUGUUGGUGGGGUAAUGGCCUACCAAGGCGACGACGGGUAGCCGGCCUGAGAGGGUGACCGGUCACACUGGGACUGUGGUACGGCCUAGACUCCUACGGGAGGCAGCAGUGGGGAAUAUUGCACAAUGGGCGCAAGCCUGAUGCAGCGACGCCGCGUGAGGGAUGACGGCCUUCGGGUUGUAAACCUCUUUCAGCUAUGACGAAGCGCAAGUGACGGUAGUAGCAGAAGAAGGACCGGCCAACUACGUGCCAGCCGCCGCAGUAA
This 478-nucleotide ribosomal RNA is filed under the name uncultured bacterium. RNAcentral describes it as "partial 16S ribosomal RNA". It matches the Rfam family "Bacterial small subunit ribosomal RNA", at positions 28 to 523 of the family's 1533-position model. The record is from RNAcentral.